UACGUAGGGUGCGAGCGUUAAUCGGAAUUACUGGGCGUAAAGCGUGCGCAGGCGGUUACCUAAGCCAGGCGUGAAAUCCCCGGGCUUAACCUGGGAAUUGCGUUUGGGACUGGGUAGCUAGAGUGUGGCAGAGGGAGGUGGAAUUCCACGUGUAGCAGUGAAAUGCGUAGAGAUGUGGAGGAACACCGAUGGCGAAGGCAGCCUCCUGGGCCAGCACUGACGCUCAUGCACGAAAGCGUGGGGAGCAAACAGG
This 253-nucleotide ribosomal RNA is filed under the name uncultured bacterium. RNAcentral's name for it is "partial 16S ribosomal RNA". It matches the Rfam family "Bacterial small subunit ribosomal RNA", at positions 524 to 776 of the family's 1533-position model. The record is from RNAcentral.